GAUGAAGAACGUAGCGAAAUGCGUUAAGUAGUGUGAAUUGCAGAAUUCAGUGAAUCAUCGAAUCUUUGAACGCACAUUGCGCCCUUUGGUAUUCCAAAGGGCAUGCCUGUUCGAGCGUCAUUUGUACCCUCAAGCUUUGCUUGGUGUUGGGCGUCUUGUCUCUAGCUUUGCUGGAGACUCGCCUUAAAGUAAUUGGCAGCCGGCCUACUGGUUUCGGAGCGCAGCACAAGUCGCACUCUCUAUCAGCAAAGGUCUAGCAUCCAUUAAGCCUUUUUUUCAACUUUUGACCUCGGAUCAGGUAGGGAUACCCGCUGAACUUAAGCAUAUCAAUAAGCGGAGGA
This 341-nucleotide unclassified non-coding RNA is filed under the name soil metagenome. RNAcentral describes it as "partial contains 5.8S ribosomal RNA, internal transcribed spacer 2, and large subunit ribosomal RNA". The stretch from base 1 to 120 matches the Rfam family "5.8S ribosomal RNA", at positions 35 to 154 of the family's 154-position model. The record is from RNAcentral.